Eucalyptus grandis is the source of this 1175-nucleotide long non-coding RNA. RefSeq lists it as uncharacterized. The transcript has 2 exons. The record is from RefSeq and is a predicted model, not a curated record. Lineage: Eukaryota; Viridiplantae; Streptophyta; Magnoliopsida; Myrtales; Myrtaceae.
GGAAGAUUCCAAAUUUGUCACAGAUAUUGUGACUUACACUAUCUUAAUAAAUGGCAUGUGUAAUGCUGGAAAGCUCAACGAUGCUCAGGGGCUGUUUAAUUGUUUGAAUGCUCGUGGCUUGCAACCUAAUGUGUGGACGUACAAUGUCAUUAUUCAUGGAUUGUGCAAAGGAGGAUGCAUGGAGGAAGCAUAUCAGCUGUUAAGGGAGAUGGAAGGAAAUGGAUGCCUUCCAAAUGACGUCACUUAUAACACAAUCAUCCAAGUACUAUUAAGAAAUAAUGAAAAUACCAGAGCAGCAGAACUUGUCAAUGAAAUGGUUGAAAGGGGUUUUUCUGCAGAUGUAGUGACUACGGAGUUGUGGGUUAAAUAUGUCGUGACAAAUGAAACUUCUUCCUUUUCGAAGGCAAGCAUGAUGACGGCCUUUGAUCAAAUUAAGUGAGACAGGCAAAUAAAGGGUCAUGUUUAGGGACAGUGAUUCGGUUAGGAAGCCGAAACCGAAGAUGAAACCGAUUGAGCUCAAGAUGCCUCCAGAGCAGAAACAAACCAUCAUGAGGAUCAUCUUUGGCCUGUUGAAGGAGCAUGGUCCUCUCACGAUUGCAGACACCUGGGAACGCGUUCAAGUAAUGUCUUUUUUGUUUUUAAACGUUUUCAGUGCUUGCCGAUUCUCAUCCCUUAUUCUUUGCCUCUCUGCUGCAUAAUGCAUCAACACCUUGGCAUCUCUUAGGUAUCAUCAUUUUUAUUGUCAUCUUGGUGUGCUUAAUUUGCUGAUCAUCGUCUCAAGACAAUUCAGGAAGUUGGUUUAAGAGGACUGACUAGCAAAAGGCACAUGAAAAUAGUGUUGAGAUGGAUGAGAGAGAGACAAAAGGUGCGGCUCCUGUGCAACCGCGUUGGUCCAAAUAAGCAAUUUUUCUACACAACUUGGUUCACAAAAGUGCGGCAAGAAAUGGACAGAACAAUGACACUGCUUCAAAACCUGGACAUCCAUGACUUGUUGCCGGUAGGCGUAUUGUAAAUGCAGAAAGCACACACAAAGAUGUGUUGCUUUGACUUUUGAGUCAUCAUUGUAUCUUGACCCUUCUUCCUAGUUCAGUUUUUGCUUGUUAGAAGGGCCGUACUUGCAUUUGCGAGGUCGUGUAAAUAAAGUUUAAUGCUAUGGUAUUACCUGAUUUGCAUAA